CAGGGUAAACGGAAAAGACCCGAAAUUCCGAAAAGGGAGAUUCACGUCUGCUCGCACGUGCUCGGCACCUGUCGCGUUUGGACGGCCAUUUGUGCCCCCGUUUGUGCGCAAGCUCAAGCGGUCGGGUCUGGUUGCCGGCGCGCGGGUGUGUCCGAGCCGCGGCGGACCGCACUUCUCCCUUAGUAGGACGUCGCGACCCGCCCGUCCGUGGUCUAAGGCUGAGCAAGACGCCUGACGCUCGCCGUUGGUUCGUAUGAGCCAGCGACUGUGUGUCAGACUGCUCGUGCUUCCCGGCCACGGUUUUUUUUACGGACGGUAUCGAAUACCGGUGUCGAGUCGCUUCUUCGCGAGGGGGAGAUAAAACACCCUCUCGUACGGAAGCGCCCUAGGCAGAGGGCAAGGUUUUUCCGAGUCUCUAAAAACGUAAGUUUUGAAGUCAAGACGUUUGUUUUCUGUUCGUCUGGCGGAGCUCGGGCCUGUUGGCUCUCUCGUCUUUGGGCAGGCUCAUUCCCAUUGCGCGGAGAAAGGCACCAGUCAGCGGCGAUCUAGUUUUGGGCUCUUUUCCGACCCGUCUUGAAACACGGACCAAGGAGUUUAGCGUGCUCGCGAGUCAUUGGGUGUUACAAAACCUAAAGGCGAAAUGAAAGUAAAGAGAGUCCCUUUUUUCGUGGCUCUCGAGGGAGGAUGAGCUACUGCUCUGGUCGUUCCUAACCGGCGGCUGAGCGUGUCUCCGCACUCCCGGGGCGACUCUUUCUCAUUGCGAGUGGAGGCGCACCAAGAGCGAGUACGCUGAAACCCGAAAGAUGGUGAACUAUGCCUGGCCAGGACGAAGCCAGGGGAAACCCUGGUGGAGGUCCGCAGCGAUUCUGACGUGCAAAUCGAUCGUCGGAGCUGGGUAUAGGGGCGAAAGACCAAUCGAACCUCUA
Molecule: ribosomal RNA, 926 nt
Filed under: Lasiacantha sp. 4 STC-2019
Lineage: Eukaryota; Metazoa; Arthropoda; Insecta; Hemiptera; Tingidae
Description: partial large subunit ribosomal RNA
Rfam family: Eukaryotic large subunit ribosomal RNA
Source: RNAcentral